GAUGAACGCUCGCGGCAGGCUUAAUACAUGCAAGUCGUGCGGCAACAGGUCUGUUGCAUUACAGUUGCUGGCGACCGGCAAACGGGUGCGGAACACGUACGCAACUUACCCUGAACCGGGGUAUAGCCCGGGGAAAGCCGGAUUAAUACCCUGUAAUAUAAUGGAGUGGCGUCACUUUAUUAUUAAAGCUCCGGCGUCUCGGGAUUGGCGUUGGGCUGGUUAGGUAGUUGGUUGUGGUAACGGUUCACCAAUCCUACGAUCAGGAACUGGUGCGAGGGGACGGCCAGGCACACGUGCACCGGGACACGGGCCCGGAUCCUACGGGAGGGAGCAGUAAGGAAAAAUGGGAAAAGGAGGCAACUCUGACCCAGCCAUGCCGCGGUGAGGAAUGAGGGCCUUUGGGUUGUAAACUUCUUUUGUAGGGGACGAAGCCUGUGUAUUCUUACGGAGGUGACGGUACCCGAGGAAGAAGCACCGGCUAACUACGUG
Molecule: ribosomal RNA, 489 nt
Filed under: uncultured bacterium
Lineage: Bacteria
Description: partial 16S ribosomal RNA
Rfam family: Bacterial small subunit ribosomal RNA
Source: RNAcentral